UCUUCCGAUCUCUUUAAAGAAAAUCAGAUAGUGUUUAAUCUUUGAAAAUGUCCCUGACUAUUCAGUUGGUACCAGAUAAUGAUAAUUACUCUGUGCCCUAG
Long non-coding RNA from Octodon degus (degu), 101 nucleotides. RefSeq lists it as uncharacterized. NCBI's taxonomy places the organism in Eukaryota, Metazoa, Chordata, Mammalia, Rodentia, Octodontidae. The record is from RefSeq and is a predicted model, not a curated record. The transcript is spliced from 3 exons.